UCAUGAUUGCCUGCACUUUUUCUGGU
Molecule: small RNA, 26 nt
Filed under: Bombyx mori (domestic silkworm)
Lineage: Eukaryota; Metazoa; Arthropoda; Insecta; Lepidoptera; Bombycidae
Description: ovarian small RNA-26229
Source: RNAcentral